GACGAACGCUGGCGGCGUGCUUAACACAUGCAAGUCGAACGGAAAGGCCCUGCUUUUGUGGGGUGCUCGAGUGGCGAACGGGUGAGUAACACGUGAGUAACCUGCCCUUGACUUUGGGAUAACUUCAGGAAACUGGGGCUAAUACCGGAUAGGAGCUCCUGCUGCAUGGUGGGGGUUGGACCGUUUCGGCGGUUGGGGAUGGACUCGCGGCUUAUCAGCUUGUUGGUGGGGUAGUGGCUUACCAAGGCUUUGACGGGUAGCCGGCCUGAGAGGGUGACCGGCGACAUUGGGACUGAGAGACGGCCCAGACUGCUACGGGAGGCAGCGGGGGGGAGUAUUGCACAAUGGGCGGAAGCCUGAUGAAGCAACGCCGCGUGCGGGAUGACGGCCUUCGGGUUGGAAACCGCUUUCGGCUGUGACGAAGCGUGAGUGACGGUAAUGGGUAAAGAAGCACCGGCUAACUACGUG
Molecule: ribosomal RNA, 468 nt
Filed under: uncultured bacterium
Lineage: Bacteria
Description: partial 16S ribosomal RNA
Rfam family: Bacterial small subunit ribosomal RNA
Source: RNAcentral